Molecule: long non-coding RNA, 718 nt
Filed under: Elaeis guineensis (African oil palm)
Lineage: Eukaryota; Viridiplantae; Streptophyta; Magnoliopsida; Arecales; Arecaceae
Description: long non-coding RNA (EGUI_LNC013977)
Source: RNAcentral
AACUAAGGCAUAAAUAUAUAAACUAGAAAAUGACACUGAAUUUUAAAAUAAUUUUAUGAAAUCUGGCCCAUUUGAGCCAGCUUUGAAUUGAAGUCAACAACGUGUCAGCAAACCCGUUGCAGACUUCAAUUCAUAAAUUUCAAAAAUAUUUGAGAUCAGAACAAGAGAUCUCGAUUCCCCAUCUAAUCCCUGUUGCCGAGUAGAUAAGGCUACCCAACGAUGGUCGGUGCAUGAUCCUCGAACUCAUGUGAACUACCGACGACUGUUGGAGGCCGAUGCAACUGGCGAAUAGCGAACGUUAGGCUGGCCUUAUCUUCUCCAUGGUUGAAUCCUAUUUAAACCCAAUCCAUCCCUGUGAUCAGCCACACCGAAUCUCUCUCUACUUCCUCUCCCUUCUUUUCUUACCUUCGGUAGCCACCAUAACCCAGCACCGCCACCCUAUAGAUCCCAUUUUCUCUCAAAAGUCAUUGAUUUUUUGGUUUCUCCCCUUUGUUUCAAGAUUGAUUUGUGCCUCUCUUGCCGCUGGAAGUCUUUAUCGAUGGUCAUGACCCAUAGUGAUCGCCACUAUUGCCGAUAAGCCAUCCCCCUCCCUUUUUUUUCUUUUAGAUGGGGAUGCCGCUGCCAUGGCAACAAGGGGCAGUGUCCCUUUUUCCUCUCUUGGCUCUCUUAUGCACGGCUGGACUACUAUCCCUAGCCACUACCGAUCGUGUCACCACUC